This 70-nucleotide transfer RNA is filed under the name Pseudomonas syringae ICMP 11293. RNAcentral's name for it is "tRNA-Val". It matches the Rfam family "tRNA". Rfam says of the family: Transfer RNA (tRNA) molecules are approximately 80 nucleotides in length. Their secondary structure includes four short double-helical elements and three loops (D, anti-codon, and T loops). The record is from RNAcentral. Lineage: Bacteria; Pseudomonadati; Pseudomonadota; Gammaproteobacteria; Pseudomonadales; Pseudomonadaceae.
AGGCACGUAGCUUUAGAGCACCACCUUGACAUGGUGGGGGUCGUUGGUUCGAGUCCAAUCGCGCCUACCA